UUGACCCUAAUUUUGGUCGUCGGGUACGCAAUCGCCGCCAGUUAAAUAGCUUGCAAAAUACGUGGCCUUAUGGUUACAGUAUGCCCAUCGCAGUUCGCUACACGCAGGACGCUUUUUCACGUUCUGGUUGGUUGUGGCCUGUUGAUGCUAAAGGUGAGCCGCUUAAAGCUACCAGUUAUAUGGCUGUUGGUUUCUAUGUGGCUAAAUA
RNAcentral lists this ribosomal RNA (208 nucleotides) under uncultured prokaryote. RNAcentral's name for it is "partial 16S ribosomal RNA". The record is from RNAcentral.